RNAcentral lists this ribosomal RNA (468 nucleotides) under uncultured bacterium. RNAcentral's name for it is "partial 16S ribosomal RNA". It matches the Rfam family "Bacterial small subunit ribosomal RNA", at positions 28 to 507 of the family's 1533-position model. The record is from RNAcentral.
GACGAACGCUGGCGGCGUGCUUAACACAUGCAAGUCGAACGGAAAGGCCCUGCUUUUGUGGGGUGCUCGAGUGGCGAACGGGUGAGUAUAACGUGAGUAACCUGCCCUUGACUUUGGGAUAACUUCUGGAAACUGGGGCUAAUACCGGAUAGGAGCUCUUGCUGCAUGGUGGGGGUUGGAAAGUUUCGGCGGUUGGGGAUGGUCUCGCGGCUUAUCAGCUUGUUGGUGGGGUAGUGGCUUACCAAGGUUUUGACGGGUAGCCGGCCUGAGAGGGUGACCGGCCACAUUGGGACUGAGAUACGGACCAGACUCCUACGGGAGGCAGCAGUGGAGAAUAUGACACAGUGGGCGGAAGCCAGAUGCAGCAACGCCGCGUGCGGGAUGACGGCCUUCGGGUUGUAAACCGCUUUCGCCUGUGACGAAGCGUGAGUGACGGUAAUGGGUAAAGAAGCACCGGCUAACUACGUG